This 1450-nucleotide ribosomal RNA is filed under the name uncultured organism. RNAcentral describes it as "SSU rRNA". It matches the Rfam family "Bacterial small subunit ribosomal RNA". The record is from RNAcentral.
UAGCGACAGGCUUAACACAUGCAAGUCGAGGGGCAGCACAGGUAGCAAUACCGGGUGGCGACCGGCGCACGGGUGAGUAACGCGUAUGCAACUUGCCUAUCAGAGGGGGAUAACCCGGCGAAAGUCGGACUAAUACCGCAUGAAGCAGGGAUCCCGCAUGGGAAUAUUUGCUAAAGAUUCAUCGCUGAUAGAUAGGCAUGCGUUCCAUUAGGCAGUUGGCGGGGUAACGGCCCACCAAACCGACGAUGGAUAGGGGUUCUGAGAGGAAGGUCCCCCACAUUGGUACUGAGACACGGACCAAACUCCUACGGGAGGCAGCAGUGAGGAAUAUUGGUCAAUGGCCGAGAGGCUGAACCAGCCAAGUCGCGUGAGGGAUGAAGGUUCUAUGGAUCGUAAACCUCUUUUAUAAGGGAAUAAAGUGCGGGACGUGUCCCGUUUUGUAUGUACCUUAUGAAUAAGGAUCGGCUAACUCCGUGCCAGCAGCCGCGGUAAUACGGAGGAUCCGAGCGUUAUCCGGAUUUAUUGGGUUUAAAGGGUGCGUAGGCGGCCUUUUAAGUCAGCGGUGAAAGUCUGUGGCUCAACCAUAGAAUUGCCGUUGAAACUGGGGGGCUUGAGUAUGUUUGAGGCAGGCGGAAUGCGUGGUGUAGCGGUGAAAUGCAUAGAUAUCACGCAGAACCCCGAUUGCGAAGGCAGCCUGCCAAGCCAUUACUGACGCUGAUGCACGAAAGCGUGGGGAUCAAACAGGAUUAGAUACCCUGGUAGUCCACGCAGUAAACGAUGAUCACUAGCUGUUUGCGAUACAUUGUAAGCGGCACAGCGAAAGCGUUAAGUGAUCCACCUGGGGAGUACGCCGGCAACGGUGAAACUCAAAGGAAUUGACGGGGGCCCGCACAAGCGGAGGAACAUGUGGUUUAAUUCGAUGAUACGCGAGGAACCUUACCCGGGUUUGAACGCAUUCGGACCGAGGUGGAAACACCUUUUCUAGCAAUAGCCGUUUGCGAGGUGCUGCAUGGUUGUCGUCAGCUCGUGCCGUGAGGUGUCGGCUUAAGUGCCAUAACGAGCGCAACCCUUGCCACUAGUUACUAACAGGUGAUGCUGAGGACUCUGGUGGGACUGCCAGCGUAAGCUGCGAGGAAGGCGGGGAUGACGUCAAAUCAGCACGGCCCUUACAUCCGGGGCGACACACGUGUUACAAUGGCGUGGACAAAGGGAGGCCACCUGGCGACAGGGAGCGAAUCCCCAAACCACGUCUCAGUUCGGAUCGGAGUCUGCAACCCGACUCCGUGAAGCUGGAUUCGCUAGUAAUCGCGCAUCAGCCAUGGCGCGGUGAAUACGUUCCCGGGCCUUGUACACACCGCCCGUCAAGCCAUGGGAGCCGGGGGUACCUGAAGUCCGUAACCGCGAGGAUCGGCCUAGGGUAAAACUGGUGACUGGGGCUAAGUCAUAACAA